Molecule: transfer-messenger RNA, 251 nt
Filed under: Beta vulgaris subsp. vulgaris (sugar beet)
Lineage: Eukaryota; Viridiplantae; Streptophyta; Magnoliopsida; Caryophyllales; Amaranthaceae
Description: Alphaproteobacteria transfer-messenger RNA
Rfam family: Alphaproteobacteria transfer-messenger RNA
About the family: Bacterial tmRNA, also known as 10Sa RNA or SsrA, is named for its dual tRNA and mRNA-like properties.
Source: Rfam by way of RNAcentral
UCACUUCACAUUCAGGCGGGAGCCCCUAUAUGGGCUCCUGCCGGCCUCGGUCGGCUAUGAGGAUAAAUUGCCCCGUGCAAUAGACGCAGCGGACCCGGGGGCGGUACCCGGCGGCUCCACCAUCACCCGUUUCCUUACGGGAACAACCCUGUUGUCGCAGGGGUGAUGACGGGGCCGAACUAGGAUCGACGUGUGUUGAAAAGCGGUGUUUUCUUCCGGGCUGAGUAACCCGUUCAAGGCUCAAAACUCAU